GACGUAGGGUGCGAGCGUUGUCCGGAUUUAUUGGGCGUAAAGAGCUCGUAGGCGGCUCGUCGCGUCGACCGUGAAAACCCGCAGCUUAACUGCGGGCUUGCGGUUGAUACGGGCGGGCUAGAGUUCGGUAGGGGAGACUGGAAUUCCUGGUGUAGCGGUGAAAUGCGCAGAUAUCGAGAGGAACACCUGCGGCGAAGGCGGGUUGCUGGGCUGACACUGACGCUGAGGCGCGAAAGCUAGGGGAGCGAACGGG
Molecule: ribosomal RNA, 253 nt
Filed under: uncultured bacterium
Lineage: Bacteria
Description: partial 16S ribosomal RNA
Rfam family: Bacterial small subunit ribosomal RNA
Source: RNAcentral